Molecule: long non-coding RNA, 392 nt
Organism: Magnolia sinica
Lineage: Eukaryota; Viridiplantae; Streptophyta; Magnoliopsida; Magnoliales; Magnoliaceae
Exons: 2
Source: RefSeq, a predicted model, not a curated record
GGAAUGGACUUUGAUCAAGACAUUCCCAGAUUUAUUAGGAACAGGAAAAGCUACUUGUGUGAAAUUCGAUCCAUAUGCAAAAUACAUUGCAGUAGGUUCAAUGGAUCGAAACCUUCGCAUAUUUGGCUUACCAGGCGGCAGAUCAGAAGAAUCUUAGAGCAUCAUCAACUCCUCUCGGAUUCUGCAGUUGCAGCAUGUCUUUUUGGGGGUAAAAAGUGACAACAAGACUAAGAGCCUUUGUUUCGUUCAUAUCUAAUAUGUUAUUCAUGCUUUCCCUGAUUCUUGGGGAUCAUCCUUUAAAAUAGAUGUCAAUCCUCCAUACGAAGGGGAAGCUUUGUAAAAGCAGAUGCUUAAGUUUUGGAGAAAUACUUAAUGCUUUAGUGUGUUUUUUU